GGAAGGCUACCCAAGUCUGGUCAACGGGGAGCGACUUAAGCUCAACAAUUCCCAAUCUCCCGCGGAGAGAAAGAAUUUUGCGCACGUCUCGCUUGCUUUGCUUCGUGAGUUCGAAUCUCACGUCUUCCA
Non-coding RNA from Microstroma glucosiphilum, 129 nucleotides. The record is from the annotation of a RefSeq genome assembly. NCBI's taxonomy places the organism in Eukaryota, Fungi, Basidiomycota, Exobasidiomycetes, Microstromatales, Microstromataceae.